RNAcentral lists this ribosomal RNA (253 nucleotides) under uncultured bacterium. Its description in RNAcentral is "partial 16S ribosomal RNA". It matches the Rfam family "Bacterial small subunit ribosomal RNA", at positions 524 to 776 of the family's 1533-position model. The record is from RNAcentral.
UACGUAGGGGGCUAGCGUUGUCCGGAAUCAUUGGGCGUAAAGCGCGCGUAGGCGGCCCGGUAAGUCCGCUGUGAAAGUCAAAGGCUCAACCUUUGAAAGCCGAUGGAUACUGCCGGGCUGGAGUCCGGAAGAGGCGAGUGGAAUUCCUGGUGUAGCGGUGGAAUGCGCAGAUAUCAGGAGGAACACCAAUAGCGAAGGCAGCUCGCUGGGACGGUACUGACGCUGAGGCGCGAAAGCGUGGGGAGCGAACAGG